This is a long non-coding RNA of Pocillopora damicornis (cauliflower coral), 308 nucleotides long. RefSeq lists it as uncharacterized. The record is from RefSeq and is a predicted model, not a curated record. Lineage: Eukaryota; Metazoa; Cnidaria; Anthozoa; Scleractinia; Pocilloporidae.
CCAAUUUCCCGUCGAGUGGAAAACCACCCAUUCUAAAAAAGAGUUCCUACUGUUGAAAGAGAAAUAAUAAAGUCGGCUACGAGAAUGGAAAUCAAGAUCUUUCCAGUGCUCUUGUGUGCCUUGAUUAUUCUUUGGACAACUACAGAAGUUAACGGAUACACCGCUCCGUGGACUCAUGGGAGCGGUGGCGAGAACACGGGUAGGAGGAAGAAAACUGAAAUUUGGGCGAAAAGCAAGAUUGCAAGAGCACCAGGGACUAAAACCGACUUGUGUUUGACUGCAAAGAUGCUUGGCUGUUACAAGGAAUU